AACUUGCAACUUUUCAUAGCAAUAUGAAAAAUGGAUUGAACUUGUUACCUGUGGUUGGCCUCAAUAUUUGUGGGUACAUUUGGUGUAGCUUGUGCUGAGUGAUAAUGAAGAAAAUUUUAAUGUAUAUGUAUUGCUAAUGAUUUUUUCAUUCCCCCAAAUAAAUGUAAAAAAUAAUAAUUAAAAAAGAAAAAAAAAAGACAAAAAAAAAAGACUAAAGAUCAGGGAAUGUUAAUCUGAUUUACUUUCAAGGCAGCUAUUUUUUGUAAAAUAAAAUGUGAUUUACCACUGGAACUGUUUUGCAGCUUUCUUGUCUUGUGCUUAGUUUAUUUGGUAAAUAUAGUACCUGUAAAUUAAUCAAUUAUGCUUUAUUAUUUUAUUUUAUUUUGAAUAAACAGCAGAUAAGGGCUAUACUGGUUUAAUUAUUGAUUUGUAAAUGCUAUACUUCAGAAAACUUGUCAUAACUGUCCCUGUCUAAUUCUUCUUCCAUCUAUGAUAAAUAAAAACAUUAGCAAUUGGGAUCAACAGGAGCAAACUUGCACUGGUAUCUCACCUAUCCAAUCAGUUUUGCUAAUUUUGCACACCUAUAAGGUAAGUUACUCUUCCUAUAGAAUCUAAUAAGUCUUUGUGAUAUUAAUUUCAGGUUACAGGUCUCUAUUGCUUUGGAUGGUGCCUCCAUAAAUUGUUAAUCUACCAACAUAUUAAAAAGAUGUUUAAUAUCUUAGGUCAAACUUUCUGUAUAGAGACCUGGUCAAGAUUUAAAAGGGCCUGAUUCUGAUUUUUCCAUACAUACUUCUCAAAGAACUCUGCCAAGAGAAGUAUCUUUCAUGCUGGUGUUGUGAGGAGAAAUGAAAAGAUAGAUGUCACCUGAAAGAGGAUGUUGCUUUAAUUCUUCAUUUUUGCUUUUUCUCUAUCAUAUUUCAUGGAGUGGACAUGAUUUUCAAGAAUGAAAAGCAUCCCUGAGAACAGGCAAAAGACACAUUUUCAUGGGCCUGAGGGCACUAAUAGGUCUUAACAUCCCUGACCACUCCCACCUGGGGCCUCCACCCACUCCCUGCACAUGGUCCUUUUUCAACUCAGCCCAGGGCUAUUGGUCCUGGUUUGAGCUUUGUUGCAGGAGUGGGGGUCUCCACCUCUAUCAGUGUUCCUGGAUGAACCUCAGACCUGCCCUUAAACAGGUGGUCUCCCUCUCGUUGAGAAGACGAAUGUUCAUCAAAACCAGGAACUUUUCAACCAAUGGUAGCAAAGAUAACUUAGAAAUCCAGAUGAAAGGGAAACCAGAACAAUAUCCUCUCUAUUAG
RNAcentral lists this long non-coding RNA (1298 nucleotides) under Anser cygnoides (Swan goose). RNAcentral describes it as "lncRNA (ENSACDG00005008342.1)". The record is from RNAcentral. Lineage: Eukaryota; Metazoa; Chordata; Aves; Anseriformes; Anatidae.